UUGUUUGCUCCUUACAGGACUUUUAGAUUUUUUCCUGUCGAUUCUCAGAUAAUUCUGAAACUGUAAUGUUGUUCAGAUGAAAAGUUAUUUUUAUUAUUUCCUUUUGUACCACUUUUAGGUGUUAGCCCUGUACAUUGAACUUAUAGGGUUUUACAUGCAGAAGUUAGGUUUGUCUGAUCAGAAGUAUAUCUAUUCAAAUAUGUUGAAUUUUA
Molecule: long non-coding RNA, 212 nt
Organism: Gadus morhua (Atlantic cod)
Lineage: Eukaryota; Metazoa; Chordata; Actinopteri; Gadiformes; Gadidae
Exons: 3
Source: RefSeq, a predicted model, not a curated record